This 375-nucleotide ribosomal RNA is filed under the name uncultured organism. RNAcentral describes it as "partial 16S ribosomal RNA". It matches the Rfam family "Bacterial small subunit ribosomal RNA", at positions 527 to 896 of the family's 1533-position model. The record is from RNAcentral.
GUAGGGUGCAAGCGUUAUCCGGAAUCAUUGGGCGUAAAGAGCUCGUAGGCGGUUCAGCAAGUCGGCUGUGAAAUCCCGAGGGCUUAACCUCGGAACUGCAGUCGAUACUGCUGUGACUAGAGUCCGGUAGAGGAGAAUGGAAUUCCCGGUGUAGCGGUGAAAUGCGCAGAUAUCGGGAGGAACACCAGUAGCGAAGGCGGUUCUCUGGGCCGGUACUGACGCUGAGGAGCGAAAGCGUGGGUAGCAAACAGGAUUAGAUACCCUGGUAGCCCACGCCGUAAACGUUGGACACUAGGUGUGGCGUUCCGACCAACGGGUGCCGUGCCGAAGCUAACGCAUUAAGUGUCCCGCCUGGGGAGUACGGCCGCAAGGCUA